Mauremys mutica (yellowpond turtle) is the source of this 697-nucleotide long non-coding RNA. RefSeq lists it as uncharacterized. The transcript has 2 exons. NCBI's taxonomy places the organism in Eukaryota, Metazoa, Chordata, Testudines, Geoemydidae. The record is from RefSeq and is a predicted model, not a curated record.
UCUUGAGGCCCAGCCCAGUGCCACAACCACAAGACGGUCCUUCCUGUCUCUAGUGACUGCUGGAGCUUCAGUGAUUGGUUAUCGUUGCAGUCACUCUGGGGCUGAAUUUGUACUGAAACCUCAAGAGAACACCUAGGAGUCUCCUCUUCUCUGUUCCUUUUGUCUUCAUCUCGCUCCACCCCGUAUUAUCUCCUCCUCACUCUGCUCUUAUGUGUGACAUCUUUUUUCACAGGGACUGAUGAAAAUCAAGAAGGAAAAACCCACCAAUUCAUCAGUCACAUAAAAUGCAGAGAGUCUCUGAGGCUGGAGUGUAACAAAGACUACUUGAUCUGUGGACUCAGCACCGACUUGUGGUCCAGGGAAGCUGAGCUAUCCUACAUCAUUGGCAAGGACACCUGGAUCGAGAAGUGGCCCAACAAGGACGAAUGCCGGAAGCCGGAUUUCCAGAACCUCUGCCAGAAGUUCCUUGAGUUCUCUGAAGCCUUGGCCAUGUUUGGCUGCCCAACCUAAACUUGGACCCAGCUUUCCCAGCAGCCCCAAGGGGACAGUUUGAGCUGAGAUGGAGCAUAACCCUCAGGUGGAGACAGCUCCACUCAGAGUCCCAAUGCUGCUGACACUCGCCGCUAGCCCUGUCCUCUUUGGGAGUUUCGCUCUUUUCUUCUUAUUGUUUCUCUCUAUAUAAAUGGCUGAAUUCUUA